Molecule: non-coding RNA, 82 nt
Organism: Trichonephila inaurata madagascariensis
Lineage: Eukaryota; Metazoa; Arthropoda; Arachnida; Araneae; Nephilidae
Source: the annotation of a GenBank genome assembly
GCACCGGCCAGUGGCGACGCGGAUAACGCGCCUGACUACGGAUCAGGAGAUGCCAGGUUCGAAUCUUAGAUGACUCGGUGCU